This 243-nucleotide ribosomal RNA is filed under the name Triticum aestivum (bread wheat). RNAcentral's name for it is "partial small subunit ribosomal RNA". Lineage: Eukaryota; Viridiplantae; Streptophyta; Magnoliopsida; Poales; Poaceae. The record is from RNAcentral.
AGGAUUCCGUUAAAAGUUAAAAUCUUCAUGUGGUAUCUUCAUAGAGGAUUUGUGCUAACCAAAGACAACCUUGCACGCCGCAACUGGCCAGGAAAUAUGAAGUGUUGUUUCUGAACUCAUGCCGAGACAAUCAAACACCUAUUUUUUCAAUGCAAGUUUGCAUGUUCUACAUGGUCAGUCAUCCAAAUAGCGACAAGUUUGUAUCUGCCCACCCACAAGUGUCGCCCAUAUUUUGGUCACUGA